This 377-nucleotide ribosomal RNA is filed under the name uncultured Stenotrophomonas sp. Its description in RNAcentral is "bacterial SSU rRNA". It matches the Rfam family "Bacterial small subunit ribosomal RNA", at positions 523 to 898 of the family's 1533-position model. Lineage: Bacteria; Pseudomonadati; Pseudomonadota; Gammaproteobacteria; Lysobacterales; Lysobacteraceae. The record is from RNAcentral.
AUACGAAGGGUGCAAGCGUUACUCGGAAUUACUGGGCGUAAAGCGUGCGUAGGUGGUUGUUUAAGUCUGUUGUGAAAGCCCUGGGCUCAACCUGGGAACUGCAGUGGAAACUGGACAACUAGAGUGUGGUAGAGGGUAGCGGAAUUCCUGGUGUAGCAGUGAAAUGCGUAGAGAUCAGGAGGAACAUCCAUGGCGAAGGCAGCUACCUGGACCAACACUGACACUGAGGCACGAAAGCGUGGGGAGCAAACAGGAUUAGAUACCCUGGUAGUCCACGCCCUAAACGAUGCGAACUGGAUGUUGGGUGCAAUUUGGCACGCAGUAUCGAAGCUAACGCGUUAAGUUCGCCGCCUGGGGAGUACGGUCGCAAGACUGAA